CCUACGGGUGGCAGCAGUGGGGAAUAUUGGACAAUGGGGGCAACCCUGAUCCAGCCAUGCCGCGUGUGUGAAGAAGGCCCUCGGGUUGUAAAGCACUUUCAGUGAGGAAGAACGCCUGGUGGUUAAUACCCAUCAGGAAAGACAUCACUCACAGAAGAAGCACCGGCUAACUCCGUGCCAGCAGCCGCGGUAAUACGGAGGGUGCGAGCGUUAAUCGGAAUUACUGGGCGUAAAGCGCGCGUAGGUGGCUUGAUAAGCCGGUUGUGAAAGCCCCGGGCUCAACCUGGGAACGGCAUCCGGAACUGUCAAGCUCGAGUGCAGGAGAGGAAGGUAGAAUUCCCGGUGUAGCGGUGAAAUGCGUAGAGAUCGGGAGGAAUACCAGUGGCGAAGGCGGCCUUCUGGACUGACACUGACACUGAGGUGCGAAAGCGUGGGUAGCAAACAGGAUUAGAUACCCCGGUAGUC
RNAcentral lists this ribosomal RNA (465 nucleotides) under Vreelandella stevensii. RNAcentral's name for it is "partial 16S ribosomal RNA". It matches the Rfam family "Bacterial small subunit ribosomal RNA", at positions 338 to 795 of the family's 1533-position model. The record is from RNAcentral. Lineage: Bacteria; Pseudomonadati; Pseudomonadota; Gammaproteobacteria; Oceanospirillales; Halomonadaceae.